GAUCAUAUAGCUUAUUUAUUUAGAGCAUGGCGCUGAAGAUGCUAAGGAGUUUUUUUACUUUGAUCA
RNAcentral lists this transfer RNA (66 nucleotides) under Lepidozona coreanica. RNAcentral describes it as "tRNA-Phe". It matches the Rfam family "tRNA". Rfam says of the family: Transfer RNA (tRNA) molecules are approximately 80 nucleotides in length. Lineage: Eukaryota; Metazoa; Mollusca; Polyplacophora; Chitonida; Ischnochitonidae. The record is from RNAcentral.